This 72-nucleotide transfer RNA is filed under the name Diaphorina citri (Asian citrus psyllid). It matches the Rfam family "tRNA". From Rfam's summary of the family: Transfer RNA (tRNA) molecules are approximately 80 nucleotides in length. Their secondary structure includes four short double-helical elements and three loops (D, anti-codon, and T loops). Further hydrogen bonds mediate the characteristic L-shaped molecular structure. tRNAs have two regions of fundamental functional importance: the anti-codon, which is responsible for specific mRNA codon recognition, and the 3' end, to which the tRNAs corresponding amino acid is attached (by aminoacyl-tRNA synthetases). tRNAs cope with the degeneracy of the genetic code in two manners: having more than one tRNA (with a specific anti-codon) for a particular amino acid; and 'wobble' base-pairing, i.e. permitting non-standard base-pairing at the 3rd anti-codon position. Lineage: Eukaryota; Metazoa; Arthropoda; Insecta; Hemiptera; Psyllidae. The record is from Rfam by way of RNAcentral.
GCUCCCAUGGCGUAGUGGUCACUGCACUCGCCUUGCACGCGGGAGACCCGGGUUCGAUUCCUGGCAGGGUCA